Molecule: long non-coding RNA, 1120 nt
Filed under: Zonotrichia albicollis (white-throated sparrow)
Lineage: Eukaryota; Metazoa; Chordata; Aves; Passeriformes; Passerellidae
Description: lncRNA (ENSZALG00000005585.1)
Source: RNAcentral
CAACAAACUUUUUUAGGUUGACAUUGUUCAUCUCAGCAACAAAGAGGUAGAAUUUAGGGUGGAAGAAGAAUACAGCAGGAUAUUUUCCACAAGAAUAGAUCCAAGGGAGCUCACAGAAAGAGUCAUUUAGCGGUUGGCAAUUUUAUUUUUUUAGAACUGGUAGCAACCAGGGGAGGUUUCUGAAGCCUGGGAGAGGGUAACAGGAAUGCCCAUCUUGGAAAAAAGGCAAAACAAGGGGACUAAGGAGCCAUAGACCAGUCAGCCUACUUAGUACAUGGAAAAGCGCUGGAAGAAGUAAUCAAGCAAAUUAUUUAUGAGCCUCUAGAAUAUAGCAUGGAGAUAAGUAACAGCCAACAGGGAUUUGUCAGGAACAAAUCAUGUCAAACUCACCCUAUUUCCUCCUAUGACAGGGCAAUAAGCCAUGAGGAGAGGCAAUGAAUAUCAUACAUCUUCACCCAGCAAGGCUUCUGAUGUCUCAAGCCACACUCUCCUGUAGAUGCCACAGGGAUGCAGACCAUGGAGUGGGAAAAAGCCACUGACAAUGAACCAUCACCUCUGUGCCCCAUCCCUAUGGUGGGAUACAUGGCAACAGGGACAGCUGGAGAAAAGGGUGCCACACUCUUCUUUGGAAAGGGGACAAAACAAGGUGAGCUCAUCAUAACUGAAACUAUAUCCUGCUCUCCCUGGACUUCUUGCCAAUGAGGAGUGUCACAAAGCCAUAGAUUCAGCUUCCAAGUUCAGGAAUCAAAACAUGGAUGCAGGGGAACGGGAAGAGAAAGACGGGUUAAUGUGCUUCAGAGAAGAAGAUCGUCCAGGAGGAAUGCUGAUGGGUAGUCACCUGCCCUACUUUUACCUUUCAUGUUGGAUGCUAUCUUUUACUAGAUUGCCAAAAUCUUCAUUCAUGAAAAUAGGAACUUCAGAGCACUCAGACUUCAGCAAAUCAGUGUGUAUUUGGGGAGCCUAAAUCCAAACUAAGAAGAAUAAUUUUGUGCUUUUCAUACCACUGGCAAAAUGUAAAUUUCAUUGGUGCAAUGUUCACUCAUUAUCGCUGAAUCAAAGAGCAGUCUCAGUUCCUGCUGGCAUCCUAUUUAGCAGAAAAAUAAAAGUCUCUUCUGUUGCA